RNAcentral lists this ribosomal RNA (440 nucleotides) under uncultured bacterium. Its description in RNAcentral is "partial 16S ribosomal RNA". It matches the Rfam family "Bacterial small subunit ribosomal RNA", at positions 338 to 795 of the family's 1533-position model. The record is from RNAcentral.
CCUACGGGAGGCAGCAGUGGGGAAUAUUGCACAAUGGGGGAAACCCUGAUGCAGCGACGCCGCGUGAGUGAAGAAGUAUCUCGGUAUGUAAAGCUCUAUCAGCAGGGAAGAAAAUGACGGUACCUGACUCAGAAGCCCCGGCUAACUACGUGCCAGCAGCCGCGGUAAUACGUAGGGGGCAAGCGUUAUCCGGAUUUAUUGGGGUUAAAGGGAGCGUAGAUGGGUUGUGAAGUCAGGAGUGAAAGUUCGGGGCCCAACCCUGGGAUUGCAGUGGAAACUGGCUCUCUGGAGUACAGGUGAGGUAGGCGGAAUUCGUGGUGUAGCGGUGAAAUGCGUAGAUAUCACGAAGAACUCCGAUUGCGAAGGCAGCUUACUGGACUGGAACUGACGUUGAGGCUCGAAAGCGUGGGGAGCGAACAGGAUUAGAUACCCGAGUAGUC